Molecule: ribosomal RNA, 826 nt
Filed under: uncultured bacterium
Lineage: Bacteria
Description: bacterial SSU rRNA
Rfam family: Bacterial small subunit ribosomal RNA
Source: RNAcentral
GUCGAGGGGCAUCGGGGAUGUUAGCUUGCUAAUAUCAGCCGGCGACCGGCGCACGGGUGAGUAACGCGUAUGCGACCUGCCCGUUACAGGGGGAUAAUCCGGAGAAAUCCGGUCUAAUACCGCAUAAUAUCGUGAAGCUGCAUGGUUUUGCGAUUAAAGGAGCGAUCCGGUGACGGAUGGGCAUGCGUGACAUUAGCUAGUCGGUGGGGUAAAGGCCUACCAAGGCGACGAUCAGUAGCCGGCCUGAGAGGGUGGACGGCCACAUUGGGACUGAGACACGGCCCAAACUCCUACGGGAGGCAGCAGUGGGGAAUAUUGGACAAUGGGGGGAACCCUGAUCCAGCGACGCCGCGUGAGUGAAGAAGUAUUUCGGUAUGUAAAGCUCUAUCAGCAGGGAAGAAAGAAAUGACGGUACCUGACUAAGAAGCCCCGGCUAACUACGUGCCAGCAGCCGCGGUAAUACGUAGGGGGCAAGCGUUAUCCGGAUUUACUGGGUGUAAAGGGAGCGUAGACGGCAGUGCAAGUCUGAAGUGAAAGGCGGGGGCCCAACCCCCGGACUGCUUUGGAAACUGUGCUGCUGGAGUGCAGGAGAGGCAAGUGGAAUUCCUAGUGUAGCGGUGAAAUGCGUAGAUAUUAGGAGGAACACCAGUGGCGAAGGCGGCUUGCUGGACUGUAACUGACGUUGAGGCUCGAAAGCGUGGGGAGCAAACAGGAUUAGAUACCCUGGUAGUCCACGCCGUAAACGAUGAUCACUAGGUGUCGGUGGGUAUGGACCCAUCGGUGCCGCAGCAAACGCAGUAAGUGAUCCACCUGGGGAGUACGUUCG